This 923-nucleotide ribosomal RNA is filed under the name uncultured Bacteroidota bacterium. Its description in RNAcentral is "bacterial SSU rRNA". It matches the Rfam family "Bacterial small subunit ribosomal RNA", at positions 1 to 916 of the family's 1533-position model. Lineage: Bacteria; Pseudomonadati; Bacteroidota. The record is from RNAcentral.
GGAUCCAGACUUUGAUUCUGGCUCAGGAUGAACGCUAGCUACAGGCUUAACACAUGCAAGUCGAGGGGCAGCAUUUUAGUUUGCUUGCAAACUAAAGAUGGCGACCCGCGCACGGGUGAGUAACACGUAUCCAACCUGCCGAUAACUCGGGGAUAGCCUUUCGAAAGAAAGAUUAAUAUCCGAUAGUAUAUUAAAACCGCAUGGUUUUACUAUUAAAGAAUUUCGGUUAUCGAUGGGGAUGCGUUCCAUUAGUUUGUUGGCGGGGUAACGGCCCACCAAGACUACGAUGGAUAGGGGUUCUGAGAGGAAGGUCCCCCACAUUGGAACUGAGACACGGUCCAAACUCCUACGGGAGGCAGCAGUGAGGAAUAUUGGUCAAUGGACGAGAGUCUGAACCAGCCAAGUAGCGUGAAGGAUGACUGCCCUAUGGGUUGUAAACUUCUUUUAUAUGGGAAUAAAGUAUUCCACGUGUGGGAUUUUGUAUGUACCAUAUGAAUAAGGAUCGGCUAACUCCGUGCCAGCAGCCGCGGUAAUACGGAGGAUCCGAGCGUUAUCCGGAUUUAUUGGGUUUAAAGGGAGCGUAGGUGGAUUGUUAAGUCAGUUGUGAAAGUUUGCGGCUCAACCGUAAAAUUGCAGUUGAAACUGGCAGUCUUGAGUACAGUAGAGGUGGGCGGAAUUCGUGGUGUAGCGGUGAAAUGCUUAGAUAUCACGAAGAACUCCGAUUGCGAAGGCAGCUCACUAGACUGCAACUGACACUGAUGCUCGAAAGUGUGGGUAUCAAACAGGAUUAGAUACCCUGGUAGUCCACACAGUAAACGAUGAAUACUCGCUGUUUGCGAUAUACAGUAAGCGGCCAAGCGAAAGCAUUAAGUAUUCCACCUGGGGAGUACGCCGGCAACGGUGCAACUCAAAGGAAUUGACGG